This 15978-nucleotide long non-coding RNA is filed under the name Salvia miltiorrhiza (redroot sage). RNAcentral's name for it is "long non-coding RNA (SMIL_LNC007139)". Lineage: Eukaryota; Viridiplantae; Streptophyta; Magnoliopsida; Lamiales; Lamiaceae. The record is from RNAcentral.
UAAAUCUUGCUGCAUCUUUUUUGUAAAAAUAAAAAAUAAAAAUUGCUUUGUUUCUAUUCCAUUCAGCUUAUAGUUUCGAUUAUUGUUCUGUCUAUAUCAUGAAACUCUUUUACUGUAUUUUCUGUAAGCUGUUUUUUGCCUAAAUUGUUUAGAUUCAAAAUUUUCAGCUUGAAAUCUUGAACUCUUUUUAUGCCUUUGUUAUGAUUAUAUUUCUGAUAUUUAUGUCAUAACCUAAAUUAUUUGGAAUGGUUGCAGAAGCGUUAGCAUUAGAGAUUGCCCGAAUGUUCAUAUCAGAGUUGAAUUUGAAGGUUAAUUAAAUUCUGGUAGACCACUUUGAAAGAUUUGAUUUCCUUGGUCUUACCUAUUUCUUCAUUCUCAUCUGAAAUGCCCUGCUGCAGCGGUUGCUUGUAGUAGAAUUUCUGUCCAUCUAUGAUGAAAAAGUGGCCGAAGCCAUGGGAUUGCAAUGGUCUGACGAACUCUAUGAGGGAGAAUUUGAUGAUUUGGCUACAUUGAACUUGUACUCGGCAGAAACUCAGAAACCAAAUCCUCCAUCACUUAGAAAUUGCAACUCUAGUACUUCAAACAUGCAAUCCAAACGGCAGCAAGAUAGCAAUGUUUUACAGGUAUUGGGCUCACUUCAAUUUAGCCGUGAAUAUCUGUGGCAAGUUGUAUUUUUAUUAAUGUCCGAAUGUUAAAGUAUGCACUGUUACAUGGACAUGAAUGCAUUGACAUGUUAUCUUUAUGCAAUUAAUUGAGUCCCUUCCUGAUCUUGUUCCAUAUUCACACUUUUUUGCAUUCUUGUAUAGUAAAAUUGUGCUGAUGCAUCCCUGAGUUACUGAUCAGCAAUCGUAUAUCUUCUAUAAGUACAAUGCAUAUGCUGAAAUUGCAGUAUUAUGCAAACAUUUGGAUAGUGUAUAUAUAUUUUCAGAAGUCAUAGAUCCAAUAUAUCAUAUAUGUAUCCAGUAUAUUUAUUGACAUGUUUGCACGAAGACAAUAAUGUGAAUAUUUGUGUGCAUACAUAUGCAUGUACAGGUGUUGAUAUAUCCAUGCUGAUCCAAAAGGACGCAACCUUAUUCUUAAUUAUCCGUCUCUGAUAUACAGAUUUACAUAACAACCUGGUUGGCAGAGGUGAACAUAGAUAAAUGCAGGUAAGAUCAACCUUACAACCUUCUCGUACUCAUCUAAAUGCUUGAUUGCCGGUUUCUGAAAUUUUAGUUCUCAUCAUGCUCUCUACAUAUGUUACUAAUUGUCUCCAUGAUUGUAGAAUGAAUAGUUGUAAAUAUUCUCAACUUAAAAAUUAUAGUAUAUAAAAAUAUUCUUGUUAUUUAGGUUUAUGAUGUAUAUACAUGUCUGAAGGAGUUAUACAUAGACUAGUACCAUAUCAUACACAGGUGUUGCCCAAGUGCGCAUUUGGAUGUCAACAAAUCGAGCUUGGGUACAAUGUAUAUAGAUUUUCUAUCUUUAUACCUAUCCAUGAUAUUUUAAUUUAGUUUUUUUUUUAAUUUAAAAAAUGGCUAUAUCUCUGUUAUCAAUAAUAAAAAUGUCAGCGAGUCACCGUAGAUGGAAAGCAAGAAUGCAAACCAUUGUUCUCUUAUCAAUCCCUUUCAUUGCAAAGUGUUGUAACUAUUUCCUUUUAUAGGGUGGAGGAGAUAUUUGGUAUCGCAGGAGGGGAAAUGCAUGUCGACUUUCUUGAAAUAUCUGGUUGAUAAAUUCGAUUUCGAUUAGCCUGCCAACUACCGCUGGUUUAUGCAAGAAUGUAAGAGCUGGUUCAUCUGAUUAUUCUCUUGUUAAUAGCAUCAUAUGCGAUAUGUGACACGAUUAAAAUUUGUACUUAGGGAUGCUUAUUUUGCAUGAUUGAUAAGAUAUAUGAUUUUAUUUGUGAGAAUAGGAUUUCUCAAAUCCCACCUUGUCAACGGGACAUAAAUCAAACAAACUUAACUUAAAUGAUAGAAAUAAUCAAGGUUUUGAGAUAUUUUCAAUUUAUUUAAGUAAAUAAGAGAUUAGUUUUAUUAUUUUGAUAUAUCAAGGUUAUCCUCAAAAGUAAACGCUCCCUUGGUAUCAAAUUUAUGAGAGUUGUUCAUCAUUAGGCAAACGGAUUAAGGGGGCGUUUUAUUUGUGCACGGGGUCCACUUUAGACUCUAAGGGGAUGUUUGGUUUGGUGGAUGAGAUUAUUAGUACUCCUUUCGUCCCACAAGAGUGUGCAUCACUUUUGAUGGCACAAGUUUUAAUAAAAUGUUAGAUAAGUGUAUUGAGAGUUGAAAAAAUGAUUCACUUUAUUAUAAAGUAAGAGCUACAAAUAAGGAGUUAGUGGUGGUGUAAAAAGUGAUUCUUUUUAUUAUAAAAUAAGAGUAAGAAAUAAGAAGUUAGUGGUGGGGUAGUGUUCAAAAAUGAUAAAUGCACACUUUUGUGGGACAUUUCAAAAUAGAAAUAAGAGCACACUCUCAUGGGACGGAGGGGACGGAGGGAGUAUUAAUAUGAUAUAGUAGGAUUGGACUAUUUUGGAUUAUUUAGUUGUGUUCGAAUUGCUUGAUCAAAUGAUGUUAUGAUAUAUUGAAGGAUUAUAUCUAAAAUGUAGCAUAAUUUCAAGAUCUCCAUGUUGAUAGAAGGGCUAUAUCCCCUUAAUUUGCAUAGAAUUUGCAUUAUGAAAACAUAAGAUUAAAGUAGAUUAUUUUAUCAAUUAAAUCUUAUCGAUCUAAUAAAUCACCUCCCUAAUCUCAAUCCUUCAUGAAAUGGUAUGCAUCACGUAACGGUUAAGCUUAUUAAAGCAAAUGAUAAUACAGAGAAAUCCAGAAAUUUAAGUGUUAGAUACAAAACAACAGAAAUGGUAAUUUAACUUAUAAACAAGAAGAAAAUAAAAAAAACAAAAACAAAAACAAAAAAGAGGCAAGAAUCAAUACCAAGAAGCAUGAGAGCUAUAUAAUUUUAUUAUUCAUUUUAUCUUAACACUAAAAAUGCUUUUUUAAAUUAUACUCCAUUUGUCCCUAAAAAUUGUGGAUCAAAAGAGAUGAGAAAGGUUUAAAGAAAAAAUGUGAUAGUUGUGUUUAAGUGGAGAUUGAGUUUCACAUUUUUUUUGUAAAUAGUGAGAGAAAACGUUUGUGAGGUCAUUUCCAAAUUAGAAAAGACCAUAAUUUUCAGGGACAUCGCAAUAUAGUAAUAAAGCCACAAUUUUUAGGGACGGAGGGAGUAUUAAACAUUAAAUUUAAAAACAUAAAAUUCAUUAAAAUUAAAACUCAAUAUUACAAUAAUUAAAAAAUGCAAUAAUUAAAAAUCAAAUUAAAAUUUGUGAAAAAUUAAAAAUAGAAUCAAAAUUUGUGAAAAUUUUACCAAUUAGUCUUGUUCUCGAUAAAAGAAAAAACACAAAUGGCCUUUAAAUGUAGGGGUAUGACAAAAAAAUACACAAACUUUGGUGAAAAAUGUCAUUUUCAUAUGACCUUUUAAUUAAGUCAAAAAAUACAUGAAAUUAUAUUAUUAUAAUUUUCACCUAAUUUUAACUUUUGGAAAAAUUAAAGCUUAGUUGACAGUAAAAAAAAUUGAUGCAAAGUUCAUUUCCCUUGCAAGGAUGCUUUUGUGUUGAACUUUGACGCAUUUUAAUAACCUUGCCCUUGCUUUUCCCUUUUACUUGUAUGAACUUUCAACAACCAACUAAACUCUAAUUUCACCGGAAGUUAAACUCAAGUGAAAAUUGUAAUUGAAAUAUAAAUUUAUAUAUUAUUUGACUUAUUUGAAAUUUCAGGUGGAAAUUACAAUUUUCACCAAAGUUGGUAUUUAAAUUGCAACAAAACAUGUAUAUAUAUGGCAACAAAACAUUGUUUCUUAAGCAAUUGAAUGUCCGAAUAUUUUUUAAAAUGAACUUGAUUUCAUUCAUUUUAGAAAUAUCCACUCAUAUUAUCUCAAAUCGGUAUUUUGUAAGUAUAAUAUAUUAUAUAAAAAAAAUUAUGAUUUUAUUAUAUAAUUUGCUUAUAACAUUUCAUGAAUUUGGAUUUCAAUUACAUUAAUGUGCUGAUAUUCUUGGGGAGGUCAAGAUCAAAAAUAUUAAUGUAGAUUGUGUAGAAAUGAAACAUUAGUUGAUGCAGAGUAAGUUUUUCAAUUCUUCGUUGAAUAAUGAUUUAGUUUUUUUUCAUUUUUAAUUAUGCUGUUAAUUAUAUAUCUGACAGUGGCACACGAGUAACUUGCGUAGUGUGAGAACUAUAUGUUGAUGAAAUCAAUAUGUUUAUGGAGAGCAGGUCAAGUGAAGAUAAAGAGCCAGUAAUAAUUGCUUUACAAUUUGUUAUGUUAUCAAUAUUUAUAGGUUCAUAUUUCCUUAAUUUGUUAUAAUAUUCAAGUAAGUUAACUUUACAAAGCUUUGCUCACAAUUUAAAUUUUAUUUCAGGUGUAAUCAAAGUUUUCAAUGAUCUCGAUGAAGAAGUAUUUUUGAUUUGACAUCUCAUACGAUCAAGUGUUCAGGAUUGUCGAGUUAUGAAAUUAAUUUGAAAGAAAGAUGCAUAAUCAUGCUUAUCAUAAAUACUGAUCCAUCUAACGAGCUUUGCAAUGACAUUAGACUGGUAGUAACUCAACUCGGGGGACGCGUAAUUAAAGGCAACUCAUUUCAAGAAAAAAUGCGGACAAGAAGUUUUCCAUUUGCUUGGAUGAUUAUGAAUUUAUCGGAUUUCACUAAAUUUCCUUUUCGGUUCUAUAAAAGGCAUUUCUAUGCAAGUGUUUGUUUUGCUAUGAAAAUAAACAAGAGUUAGGACACAUUCUCUUUUGAAUGUAGGAUUAUAUCUACUGAAACUUGUGUUUAGUCAUAAACAAUUUUAUGUGAAAAUCUCCAGAGUCACUAGAAAAAAAAAUAUUUAAAGAUUUUAAUAUGUGAUGAGAGUGGUCAUACACAUGACACAACAACUAACGUGGUGUAUGAUAAAAUUUUCAAUAGAUUAUAAGGUAAUUACAAAUUUAAUUUGUUAAAGUCAUUAUUGAUAUUCCCUCUGUCCAAAUUCAACAUGCCAUAUUUUCUUUAUUUUGACGUCCCAUUUCAAUAGCUCACUUCCUAAAAUGGAAAGUCAACACAUAAUAAGAGCAUCCACAACCCAUGAUCUUCGCCCCGAGUCGAUGCACAUAGUCGGCGCCUCGUCUGCGCUGGAGACACGGGUGAGGUCGACGCCGGGUCUCUACGGUGCAACGGGUUGAUGGCAAAAAAUGGAGUGUUCGUGCACUACACGUGCACGGUUUUUUUUNUUUUUUUUAAAGAAAUAAAUGAGUUGGGGAUUAAAUUUGCAGAGAUGGAAAAUACUUGAUGGGGAAGAAGAAGUGGGAGAGGCAAGUGAAGGGUGUGUGGGCCGAGAGUUGGGCCAGGGUUUGGUUUUUCUUUUUUUUUCUUUUUUUUUUAACUUUUCUUUUAAUUUUUAAAAUUCUAUUUUUUUUUAAUUCUUUUAGUUUUUUUUUAUCUAAUUUUAAAAUCUUGUAUUUUAUUUUAAUUAUUGUAAUGUUUGAAUUUUAAUUUUAAUGAAAAUUUGGAAUCUUAAAAUAAAAGUGUAGAAUUUGGGAUUUUGUGGAAAUAAAGAUUUAAGACACAGGGGCUGUGGAGAGUUGUGUCUUAGGUGGGGACCAUCACCUAAGACACAACCUAAGACAUAAUGGCUGUGGAUGCUCUAAAUAUCACACAUAACUCAUUAUUUACACCAAAUGACAUUGUAUCUCAAACAUAAUUAUCUCUUAGUUAUUUUUCUCUCCUACUUUUUGGACAUAUAUAUUUAAAAAAAUAUAAAAUCUCUCUCCUAUUUUAUUACUUUUAACUAUUCGGUUCUUAACAUCAUUGUCCAAUCCUUGUGGCCUAUUGAAUUGGGAUGGAUGGAGUAUUAUUUAAUUCAUUAUAUUUUUUUGUCCAAUGAUUGAUUGCAACUACAAACAUCUAAUUUAGGUAAAUUUCAAAUAAAUAUUAUAAUUUCUCUUUUAAAAUUUUGUAGGUCAGUACUCUGUUUAUAUAUACAUUUCAUAAGACAUCUAAUUUAGAUAAAUUUUAAAUAAUUGUAGUAUAUUUUUUAUUUUAAAGUCUUUCGUUCAAUACUCUAUUUUAAAGAAUGAAAUUCAUGAAAAAAAAUAUAUUAAAUAAUUCCAUAAAUUUAUAUAAUAAUGAAUUUCGUCGAAUUUUAAUGGGCUAUUACUAGUUUAUUUGACUAAAAAUAAAAGGUACUACUAAGAGCCUGUCUAGCCAUGUUUAUUUUAAAGAACUUAUAAGUUUGGGAGAGAAAUAUAUGUUAGAGAAAAAAAAAAUUAAAUAAAAAUAAACUUGAAAGGAUAUAUGAUAAAUACAAUAAAUUAUGAUUAAAUAAUAUUUGUAACUGUAUAAAAUUAUGAAAAUAUAAGUUGGAGUAGAUAAAUUUAUAAACUAUUAAAAUUUAUUAAUUUUUAGGAUUUAUAAAUUGUUUUAAAAUGUAUUUAUUAAAUAAUUAAAAAAAACUUAUAAGAUUCUAAACAAUUUAUAAGUUUUUUAACUUUAUAAAUGUUUAUGUUUCUUUGUUUGAUAAAUUUAUCAUAGAAAAAUGAGAAAUAACAAAAGAAUCUUUUUAAAUCUCUUCUUCUUUUCCUCAUUUUCUAUAAAAGAGAUAUUCACGCAUUCAUCAUUUUCACUCUAAGGAGAGAUAAUAUCAUCACAUUAAAAAUGAAUAGAUAAUAUUAUCUCUUUAUGAAGUGAAAAUGAGAAUAGUAAAAAAAAAAUUCUUUUACAAAAAAUGAGAGGAAAAAAAAAAGAAUAUUUUUUUAAAAAAAUUGUCCUUACUUUUCACGUGAUAAAUUUAACGAUCAAAGUUCAAAGAGAUCACACGAGAAAUGGUCAAAUUGAGAAAACUUAAGAAUUGGAUGGGGCGAAACCGAAUAAAAGACCAAAUUGAGAAGUUCAAAGAGAAAGCUUAAGAAUUCGUUGGGGCGAAACCGAAUAGAGGGUUUAAAUGUUUAAUACUACCAUUAUUCUAUUUCCGAACCUUUUUUCGAUAUGAUUCGAAAUUGAGACACAUACAAACCCCCAAUUAACGCACACAACACAUAGUUACACAGCACUUUUUUCCUUCUCCGGAGCAGCCGCAAAUUCUCUUGCCCCACGCACUAAAUUACACACAGAGAACACGCAGUAACGAUGGUUGGAGAGGAGAAGCGGCAUCAGAUGAUGCAGAAUUUGUUCGGUGACCAAUCAGAAGAAGAGGAGGAGGAGGAGGAGGAGGUUGAAUCAGAGCACGAGUCUAAUCGUCAACCUGAUUAUGCAUCCGUAUGAAUUUUUUUUAUCUUUUAAUUAUUUUCGAAUCUAAGUUUGCACGAUUCCACUCGGUUAACUGGUGCUUUUUUGUUUGUUUUAUUUUCCUUAUCCAAAUAAUUGGUGCUCUUGAUGGCAUUGUGAUUUCAGCUGUGGCGAAAUCCUAAUUUUAUUCCAGUUUGUUUGUUCGUUCUUUUUUUUUCUUUUUCUUUUUCGUUUUUUUAUAAGAGAAGCGAUUUUUUGUACCGAUUUAUUCAAAGAAUUCAACCUUUUACCAUUAGAUACGUUGUUCUGUGGUUUAAUCGGUAUGCACCGACAUGUAAUUUUUGUGUGCAAGAGGAGUAACUCUGUUGAUACAUCGUGCAAUUUUAUUUUUAAUUGUUCUAAUGAAUCAAUUAUUUCUACAAUUACCUGUAAUUAAAUAUUUUUAUUUUCCAGCUCGAACUCUACUCAAAUUUCAUCACUGUCUGUUUCUCAUUGCUAUUUCAAGCUGCAUGCCUGGAUGCUAAUAUAUCUGUUUGUAAUAUUGUAUAUAUUCCCGCAGUAUGUGCACGGUCAUAUGCCAACAUGCAUAAGUUUUGAUUGCAAUCACAAUUUCGAUCUUUUGAAGUCUAGUAGUUGCUGACUUGCUCUUAAUUCAGACACAAUUCUUACUUUAGAGGACGGGCUAAUUGAAUUGUUUGUAAAUCCUUUAAUAUUUACACAUACAAUGUGAUAUGAGUGUCUAUUUAGACUUCUAUCAAUUUUUUUUGAAGGAAAGACUUCUAUCAAUUUGCAACUUAGUAAGUCACAUCAUACUUUAAAUAAGCACCCCCUCUCAUUGUACUCACAUGUUUACACACAUAGUUUAAUUAAUAUAUAUAUUCAUUUCUGAAAGUAUUUGUUUAGGGUCUGGAAAUUCGUAUUUUUACAGGUGCGAAUGCUGCAUGAAUUCACGAUUUGGAUGCCAAUACUUAUAUGCUGUUGUUAGGAAAAACAUGGGAUAUAAUUCUUUGAGUAUUUAUUCAGCACGGCUUGUGAAUUAUGGUAUGCGUGAUUAAUUAACAAGUUUAGAAGGCCAAUCCUUAAUGAGCCAGCACAUAAGACAUCGUUACACUUCUGAAAGUUAAAGCAUGUGCAUCCUACUCCUUGUUUUGAAUUAAUUAAAGUUGUGAUUGUUUCUUUUUAGGAUGAAGGGGAUGAAGGACCUGAGGCUGAAGGUGAAGGUGAAGUUGAAGGUCAAGGAGAGGCAGAAAUUGAGAGUGAGGGUGAACCUCAGGAUCUUGAUCCUUUACAAGGUGAGAGUGAGGGUGAGAGAGAGAAAAGCUCUCAAGAAUUGGAGAUAGGUAACCAAAGGGAACAAAGUGAAGAAAGGUACUCAGAGAGUGACGAUAAGGAAGAUUAUGGCCAACGAGUUGUUACUAGUAGAAGACACGAUGCAGUUGAAAGUGGGUCAGAACGAUCUGGAGAGAACCAUUAUGUUGCUAAUGAGGAUGAUGAAGUGAAUCAGGCUAGGAGUCACAGGUCCCUUUUUCGAUCUCUUACUUUCCUGUCUCUCUGAGGGAUAUUCUGUUUAUCUUCUACUUGUGCUUAUGCAGUCUCCAACUGCAAUGACCCCAAUAUGGUGUUAUUUUAACUUCAUUGACUAUGUUGAUGUCUUUGGGAAUUUAUUGUUUCAUUCUUGGAAUCAAAUCAAUAUUGAUUCAUUGAUGAUGAAGGUUGAAAGUGGUUGUAUUAGGAGGAAAAUGUAUUUAAAAAUGUGAAUAUGUUUGGUUAUGUUUGGAGAGAAUGAAUCAAUACUGAGGGAGUAUUAAUUGUCACAGCCUAAGUGGAAGAGGUUUGAGGGUGCUCGAUCUUCAAUGUGGGUAUCCAUUCUUAACUUUUCGCCCCCAACACUUAAUUUCUGCUGCAUUAUGUAGCUGUAUUUCAUCAUUCUACCAACCAUGGGAAGUUGCUCCGUCUUUCUUGGGAAUAUAUUUUUCUGGUCAAUUGCUAGAGGACUGCUCAAUUUAUUUUUAAAUCUAUAUAUGUUUAUGGCCUUAUGGGUAUUGAGGUCGAUUCAUGUACAGAGUUUCUACUUGGGGUUGGGAUGAUCUUAUUUGUUGACACUAUCCACUUUCACUACCUUUUUUACUUGCCUGCAUAUCAGUUGACUGUGAGAUUCGAUCUCAACCCUAAAAAGGGAGAGUUUCGACUGAAGUUUAGUUUCAUUGCAACUUUUUUUAAUGUAAUGGUAUAGUGCUGAUUAUAAGGUAGUUCAGUUGAUUAGAAGGUUGAGAAGAAUGGAAAAGAAUACUGUAACACAGAGAGGACAAAGAGAAUUGAUAAUUACCAAUGCCUGACUUUCUUCCUAAACUAAUACAUCCAGUGACACUGCUCAUUUGCAAUUUGUUUGUCUUUAAUACAUUAGUCCAAGAUGUUUAGUGGUCUGGAUUCUGUGAUCUGCAGUGUAUCUGGUGAUGAGAAAGAUGAGGAUCAGUUUUUGCAGUCAGCGCCAGAGAUUCGUGAUGUUUUUGGAGACUCUGAUGAUGAAGAACUAGCAGAAUACAAAGUUCAGGAUCAGACUGAAGAAGAUGAAGUUGUUAGUUGAUGUGGAUUAUAAUAGCACUGUUUUAUUUUUCACUCUGUUUUGCAUAAUGUAAUAUCUUAAGAUAUAUUCCUACCACAGAGAUCCCCAAUUGAAGAAAUGGGGAAUUAUGGGAAAGACUUGAGGCCGGAGGAUAUGAUACCUGAUGAAGAUGCACCGUAUUACUCUGAAGAAGAGCAUAUUGAGGCUAGAGCUAAAGAAAAACCAGUUGGUCCCCCACUAGAGCUGGAAAUUCCUCUGUGCCCUCCACCAUCUGAAUCUGAGAAGGUUUACAUUCAGUUUUCUGGAUUAUUGUUUGAAAUUAAAUUUAUGUAAAGUUACAUCUGGUUCAGUCCUUGAAUAAGUUCAUCAUGCCUGCAUAAUCUCAAAUCUAUAUUGGUCUAGAGUUAAUAUGUCUGGAGUUAUUUCACGAGAAAUCUUAUCUCUUAAUUUUCUUGUCAGUUUGGAAAACUGUUAGCAGAAGGCCAACAAAAUCUUGCAGCAUUUGCUUCUACAGCCUGUCAAAUUUGCAAUUUGUUAAAUUCUUAAUUUGGCUGGUGUAUGAGAUGGGUAGAAAGUAUAAUUUAGUUUAAACAUACUUUUGCUAAUUUUCUGAUUUCCCUAAGAACUUCACUUGAAACAAAAAUGAAGUAAUGGUGGGUGAAUUUUAUGAAUCUGGGACAUGUGUGGUCAUGGAGAAGAUGAAUUAGGUGAGUGGUAAUGGUAUAGGUAGUUUGCCCUUCUUAUAUGACUUCUUGAGAUCCACGGAUUUGAUUUCUUAAUUCCUUUGUACCACAUUCAAGUAUGGCUGAAGGGUGCUAUUUAAUUUAAGUAUCUGGUUGACUUAUGCAAAAACUUUUAUUCUGAUCAAUAACACUCAGUACUUGUGAAUAUGCUAUAUACCUAAGGUUAGGGUUCAUGUGUGUGUUUCUCUUCCUUCUGCAUGAUGCUACUCAUAACUUCAUAGUAAAUCUUUUGGGAUUUCUUCUGUUGCAGAUGAAUAUGAUCAAAGUAUCUAAUAUAAUGGGCAUAGAUCCUACACCGUUUGAUCCACAUACGUAUGUGGAAGAGGAUCAUUAUGAAACUGAGGAAUCUGGAUCUAAAAAGAGGAUAAGAUUGGAGAACAAUGUUGUUCGUUGGAGAAAGGUCAAGCACCCUGAUGGCAGAACAUCUGUAAGUGAAUUAGUUAAUGGAGUUUGUGCCUUGUCAAAUCAUGUGGUCAUUCAUUUUACAUGAAGUUCUUUGAAACUCAAGUGUUGUUGGUUGUAGCAACUUUUCUAAAAUUUUCUAAGAUGGGAGCCUCUAAGGACAUCUUAGUGAUAUUGUUUGAGACUGUAUCAUUUAACAUAAAUUUGUAUUUUAUUUGUGUGGACAAGACAACUAGCCUUCUGCAUGUACUAUAGACUUUUUCAUCAAGAGUCAUUUGCUGCAACUGCCUACUCAAUAUCAGAUUCUUGAUGCAAUUUUUCCUUAACUGAAUAGUAAAUCUGACACUACUUUGUGUAGAUUGAAAGCAAUGCUCGCUUUGUGGAGUGGUCAGAUGGUAGCCUGCAGUUACUUAUUGGAAACGAAGUGCUCGAUAUAUCUAAGCAAGAUGCUCAACAUGAACAGGCUCACCUUUUUGUUAGACAUGGAAGGGUAAUUUUUUAUUAUUUAUUUUUAUUGUGGCGUGAAUAACCUGCUAGUACAUAAUUUACAGUAAUUUAUCAGUUCUAAAGACUUUCUUCUUUGACACUUCAAUAAGUAUGGAUUUGGGAUCUGAAAUUUCUUUUCUCAGAUACAUCUUUUUAUGCUGUCUAUUGUGAAAACUUUUCACUGAAAAGUCUUUGAUGGUUCAGCAGUUAACAUUCUUUAUUUUUUCUCAGGGCAUUCUCCAAUCUCAGGGGCGAAUUUUAAAAAAAAUGAGGUUUAUGCCGUCCUCCUUAGCUUCAAAUUCUCAUAGGUUGUUAACUGCUCUCGUUGAUUCACGACACAAAAAGGUGUAUAAAGUCAAGAACUGCAUCACUGACAUUGACCCUGAGAGGGAGAAGGAGCAAAAAGAGAAGGUAUAUCAAUUAGCUAUCUGAUAUAUCUGGUAUUGAUCAUCAAGCUAACUGAUUUCAGUUCCAUUGGGUUUGUGGCUUCUCAGGCUGUUCAUCAGUCAAUUAAAGCUAAUGAACUUCUUAGCCGGAAGAAGGAGAAGGUCAGUCGUAAAUAUACACAGCCCAUCCGCAGGGAGCGCCAACUUUCCCCUGGUUUCCUAGAGGACGCACUUGAAGAGGUUGGAUACACACAUGAGCACACGUACAACACACACACACACACAUAUGUAAUAUUUUUUGAAGAUCCAUGGGAUGUCUUUUUGCGGACACCUUUCUUCCUUUUUUUAGGCUUCAUUAUGCUGCAAGUGUCUAAUGAAUUUCCUUUUCUUCCAUAAUGCUACCACAGUAAAAUUUUAUUUAUUCUGAAGUAAUCUUUUGUCAUUAUGGUUACCUAAUUAGGAGGAUGAACAAGAGUAUUAUGAACCACGGCGUUCUGCUGUUCGGCGUCGCUUUGAUGAUGACCUUGAAAUGGAAGCUCGAGCUGAGAAGCGCAUAAUUAAUGCAAAGAAGGCAUGUGAUUAUUACCAAUAUGAUAAAAAGGAAACAUCUAUACUCUUUCGAGUCUUUUUGUUGAAAAUCUUAUUUAUGCUCAACUGAAUUUCUACUGUUGGGGUUUGCUUUCAGGGACCAAAAGAUAUCCCUCGCAAGUCAACAUUUCAAGCUUCCAAAUCAUCUCGACGCCCAGUGGACUUCUCUGAAAGUGAGAAAGAGGAAUCCGAGUAUGAAACCGAGGGGGAGGAGGAAGGUUCACCGCCACAUAGAAGACAUGAGGAAGCAGAGCAAGAUUAUGGGGAUGAAGAUGAAGAACCAGAACAAAGAGAGCAAGAAGAAGCCUAUGAUGAAUCAGAAGAAGAAGCCGAGGUAAGUGAUGAUAAUGUUUCUGAAAUCAUUUCUGGCUGAUUUCAGUUAGUGGAAGCAACUGGAUAAAAUACUAUAACGGUCAACCCUUUUUUCUCAAAAAAAUUACUCGUAUUUCUUAAUCACAUUCUAAAUGGCCUAUUAGUUUCAGGGAUGGGGAAGUAUGUUGAAUAGCAAAUUGCUUUAAUCCUGUUGAAGAUCCAGAGUUUUACUAAUAUUGAUAAUUAUAUGUAGUUAACUGCUUGUAUUUGAUAUCUUCUUGAAGAAUAAAAUACUGUGGUCUGUAAGUGUUGACUUAGUUUUCCUACAGGAGCCAAAGCAGAAGGUUAGGGAUUCGGGAGGCAGCCUCAAAAGGAAGGGUAUUGAAUCUGAUGAGGACUCUCCUCCUAGGAAAGCUACUACUCAUCGGCGAAUGAAAAUGGUAUAUGAGAGUGAUGAGGACUAAAACAGGACUUCUGAGGAAGUAAGUUUUGUUUAAAUUUUAUUUUAGCAUGGGUUAUAUCCUUACUAUUCGUACAUUAUUAGGCUUAAAUAUCUGGUUUUGGGAUUUUGCAGGAGAACCUCUCCAUUUAUUGGCUAAUCUUUUCUAGAAUCUUUGGGCGACGAGCAGACAGUGAUUUCGGUUAAGUGCAAAUUUGUGGGGCAACAACUCAUGUACGUGCGCACUAUAUUAUCCUUGUUAUGUACCCGUCAAGUUUUCUGCCAAAUUUAAGCACAUUGUUGUAAUGGAAUUUUUGGUUAUAAUCAGGUUUUUAUAAUUGUAAAUGAUUUGUAGAACUGAAGCUAUAUUUAUGUACCCUUGUUGAAGUAAAUUUUUGGCCCUGAAUUACAAGAUCAUCGUUGCUUGAGAAUAUCUCAUCAUGUGGGAGCCUAUUAUAUAUGAUUAAUAGAGCUGCUGAUACAACGCAAAUUCCAAGAUGUUGAUUCGCUAUGGACAAAGGAUGAAUGCAAUCUACUAUCAACGUGUCGAAUGAGUUGUACAAAAUUUGCUAGAGCUCGAUUUUCAAUAAUAGACUUCUUAUUCAUUCUGGCGCAAUUCGAAAUUAACUGUGAAUCAACAAAUUGUUUGUGUUGUUCUAGAUUUCAGUUGAGCUUCUAUCUGCGUCGUACUGGAACCCCAAAUAAUAAAUAAUGGUAAUGCCAAAAAUGGCUCGAUUCUUUUAGUGGAAGUGGUGAUUCUCUCUCUCUCUCUCACACACACACACGUAUGAUACUAAAACGUGGGACGACUAAAAAAGAAAACUAAAAGUUGGGAUUGAGGGAAUAUAUUUAUAAAUAUGGUAAUUAAGUUUGUAUUAAUUUUAUAGACAUAUAGAAAUAUAAACAUGUUUCUCGUGCAUUGCACGAAAGCAAAUGAUAGUUUAAUAAAAAGUUCAAUAGUAAUUGUCAAAGUUUAGUAAUUUAUAGGUUUUUAUGCCUGCUAUUUAAUGUGACAUGUGUGUCACAUAUACAUAAUUAAGUCAUGUCAAUAAUAUGUCGUUUUUUAAUUUGGCCAAAAUUCAAAUUAAUUAAAUUAAUAAUUUAAUAAUUAUCACACUAUAAUUUAAAAUUUGUAUGUAAAGUUAAAAUUGGAUGAAAAUUUAUGAUAAAUUAACAAUAUAUAAAACUACCCGAAUUUCAAAUCAAGUUUUAUUUUGGUUGAAAUUAGAUCAAACUUAAUUAUGUUUUCUUUAAUCAACUAGAGGUGCAUUUACUUUAAUUGUAAAAAAAUUUAUUGGAAAAUGAUGAAUAAGAAAAUAUGUAAAAUAUUAUCUUUUUUUUUAUGAGCAGUAAUAUAUGCAGAGCAGAGGAAUCACUAUGGUCAGAGGAAUGGGCUUCGCCAGAGGAACGGGCUUAGUCAGAGGAAUCACUGUGGUCACUAUGGUCAGAGGAAUGGGCUUCGCCAGAGGAACGGGCUUAGUCAAAGGAAUCACUAUGGUCAGAGGAAUGGGCUUCGCCAGAGGAACGAGCUCAAUCAGAGGAAUCACCAAAGACAUAGGAAUGGCUUGUCAUUCAAGAUAGGCAGCGGAAUGAGUGACCGUUUUACCCGGGAAGCGCCAGAGCAGAGGAAUCGCUCGGAAUCGCUCGUCUGCAGGCAAAAUUACUACUAUACCCUUGACCACGCGGAGAGCAUGCCUUCAAAGAUGAAAUUACUGUUUUACCCUUCUAUUGUACUCUAUAAAUACCCUAUGCAUUCCCUUAUGUAAACAACGUGCUCUUCAUUCAAUACAACAACAAUUCCAUUUCUUUCUCGUAAAUUCAACCUUUUCUCUCAACUUUUACGCUUAAACACUAGGUAAUACUCGCAACUUAGAAUUAGGUGUUGAUAAGGUACUUUAUCAUUUUUAUUAUAUGUUUACUAAAGAUGAAAAAAAAAUUAUACAUCACUAUUCAAACCCAAAAAUAAUACUCAAUUUUAAAAAGAAAAUAUUUUUUAUCUCAUUUUUUGUCAAAGUAAACAAACCUAAGGAAAUCAUCAAAAGAAUUUCCCUUUUUAAGGGAACUCAUAUAUUCAUUUAAGCAAUUGAACUAGCAAUAAUAUUAUUUAAAUAUACUCCCUUCAUCUCACUCUAACAGUCUUAUUAUUAUUUUUUUUGGAUGUCUCGUUAGCAUAGUCUCAUUUUUACAAUAUUUUAAAAAUAAUUAUGCAUUAUUUUUUACAAAAAGUAAGUUAAGAGUGUUAGUUAAUUGGCUAAAAUAAAGUCAACCACGUCACUUUUCAUUCAAGAAACAACUUUUUAAUAGUUUCUCAUUGCAGGUAGCGACUGCUUCUUUUUUUUUUUUUUUUCCUGUGCUUAUUUUUCCUAAUGAACCAAAAAUUUAACUCAAGGGCACGCCAAAUGAGAAUAUAAAUAGGUUUGCCCUAAAACAUGUCAUAUAAAUUCACCUGAAGCUCUUAUGCAAACAAUAGAGAAUUGGUCCUUGCCUCAACAUCAACUUCUACUCAUCAAACCUUCCUCUUUUGCACGUCUCGUCUGAAAAAUAUGUGAGGGGAAACCCUCUUUUCAUGUGCAAGUUCUAGCUCCCCUCAACUUUAUUCGCAAGAUCAAGAUGGCUAUGCUGCUUAGUGAGGAUCUUUUGGUCCGUGAGAGUUGAAAAACAUGAUUUACGUCCUCUGCAUCACUGGGCCAAAUGUGCUCCUCAGAACCCUCAAGGUUGUGAUUGGAUUUGGAUGUCACUUUCUUGUCAUUAUUCUUCUGGUUACGUGAUGGAUCGUCUUCAGUUGUUUUCGAAUAAUUCAUGUUUGAACAAAUGCCUGUUACGCUUUUAUCUUGUCUCUUGGCGGCUUCUUCAGG